RNAcentral lists this long non-coding RNA (605 nucleotides) under Amborella trichopoda. Its description in RNAcentral is "long non-coding RNA (ATRI_LNC000675)". The record is from RNAcentral. Lineage: Eukaryota; Viridiplantae; Streptophyta; Magnoliopsida; Amborellales; Amborellaceae.
CUCCGAUGUCUGGGGACUUGCAUCCACUACUUCUUAUUCUAGCCAUCGCUAUUUUGUCACCUUUGUAGAUGUCUAGAGCUACAUGGAUUUAUACGUGAAAUGUUCAAAAAGAAUGAAGUCAUGUGUUGAAGGCGGUCACACACAAUUUUAUAAGAAUGUUUUGAUGGUAGCAACUGCCACACUUUCUUAUCUGAUAAUGGCAUCAACCAUCACCUGUGCUUAUUUAGUUGAGGAAUGGUUGGUGGCUGAAAGGAAGAACAGGCAUAUCUUAGAGGUUGCUAGUGCUCUUUUGUUUCGAUAGAGAUGAAUGUUCCCAAGUCCUAUUGGUCUGAUGCUGUUAUGAAUUACAGUCCUAUUGAUAACAUAUGCAGUCACUCCUAUUUUAGACCCUUAGGUACGUUUUUUACGAUGUCCAACCUGCAGUUGGAUGCAUUUUUUUUGUUCCCUCUCGCGGGAGAAGCUUGUUCAUUAGGCACACAAGUGCGUCUUCUUUUGAAUCCUUAUUCUCAAAAAAGAAAAAAAGGAGACCUGUGACUAAGAAGAUGCAUAUUUCAAGGCAUGUCACAUUCGAAGAAAGCUAUCCAUCUUUUUGUGCCUUCUUCUUC